GAUGUAUAAUCUAAAGCAAUUAUACAUGUUCUGAAAUAGAUUAACCAUCCUAAAUGUUUACAAUAAACCUCCGGAAUCUUCCACUCUAAACUCUAAUUAACCUCUGGUUAUGUAAUCAAUGAAUGGAAAUAGGAUCAUUUUGGCACUACCCAUCCGUUCCAUCCCUUGAUUUCGAGCUGCGUGGACGUGUUUACAGAUAUAUUUAAAUAAAUUUGAAUUAGACUGCAAUUUCUCAACACUGAAAAAUACAGCAAAUUUAUGUCUAAUUGGAGGAGAUAGUGUGGAGAGCAAUGUUCGCCGUGUUAUGUCUCACACUUUGUCUCAGGAAGUUGCCCUAGAAUACAACUGGGUUGGAAAAGGCUCGAAAAACUUAGACUUAAAACAGUCAUAUUAGAUGCUGUAAGAGGAAGUAGACAGGGGUCUACUCAUAAUGAAAUCGAGAAGACAAUGAAGGAGUGGCUAAGAUAUGCCAAGGAUAGGGGAGGCGGGCGGAGGAAGAGACUGGCUAAAAAGUUGCAACAACAAAGAGAAGAAAAUGAAAAUGAUAUGUGAACAACAUUUAGAAAUAAAUUGUAGUAAUUAGAAUAUUUUAUGUUCUUUUAUUUUACGGUCUCUCUGAAUUCUAGGAGACAUGCUGUUUUUGGUCUUGUCAUCUGAGGGCCAGCGUUAGUAGUAAGAAACAAGUAAUUGGGCCAAUGGAGGGCCAACAAUAAGAGUAGGAAACAAAGUGAUAGGC
Ruditapes philippinarum (Manila clam) is the source of this 736-nucleotide long non-coding RNA. RefSeq lists it as uncharacterized. The transcript is spliced from 3 exons. Lineage: Eukaryota; Metazoa; Mollusca; Bivalvia; Venerida; Veneridae. The record is from RefSeq and is a predicted model, not a curated record.